CUGCAGGCGCCAUCGCGACGCUGAUCUCCGUAGCCAUAGUCUCUUAUUUCCUCUGUAAAACUACUCAGCAAAAGUCUUCCGGAAAAAAGAAACUUCAAGGACGUAGAACUGGACUCGUCGCCGCCAUUGGCAACACUCCGUUAAUCAGAAUCAAUACCCUCUCCGAUGCAACUGGCUGUGAAAUUUUGGGGAAAGCUGAAUUCUUGAAUCCUGGAGGGAGUGUGAAAGAUAGGGUAGCUGUGAAGAUAAUUGAAGAGGCCCUGGAAUCUGGAGCGUUAGCUGAAGGUGGAGUAGUUACAGAGGGCAGUGCAGGAAGUACAGCCAUUAGUCUAGCAACAGUAGCACCUGCUUAUGGGUGCAGAUGCCAUGUGGUUAUCCCAGAUGAUGCUGCUCUUGAAAAGGCACAAAUACUAGAAGCACUAGGAG
This 426-nucleotide unclassified non-coding RNA is filed under the name Hevea brasiliensis (rubber tree). Lineage: Eukaryota; Viridiplantae; Streptophyta; Magnoliopsida; Malpighiales; Euphorbiaceae. The record is from RNAcentral.